RNAcentral lists this ribosomal RNA (543 nucleotides) under Fusarium oxysporum f. sp. lycopersici. RNAcentral's name for it is "eukaryotic LSU rRNA". The stretch from base 175 to 328 matches the Rfam family "5.8S ribosomal RNA". The record is from RNAcentral. Lineage: Eukaryota; Fungi; Ascomycota; Sordariomycetes; Hypocreales; Nectriaceae.
ACUGUGCUGAUGCGGAGGGAUCAUUACCGAGUUUACAACUCCCAAACCCCUGUGAACAUACCACUUGUUGCCUCGGCGGAUCAGCCCGCUCCCGGUAAAACGGGACGGCCCGCCAGAGGACCCCUAAACUCUGUUUCUAUAUGUAACUUCUGAGUAAAACCAUAAAUAAAUCAAAACUUUCAACAACGGAUCUCUUGGUUCUGGCAUCGAUGAAGAACGCAGCAAAAUGCGAUAAGUAAUGUGAAUUGCAGAAUUCAGUGAAUCAUCGAAUCUUUGAACGCACAUUGCGCCUGCCAGUAUUCUGGCGGGCAUGCCUGUUCGAGCGUCAUUUCAACCCUCAAGCACAGCUUGGUGUUGGGACUCGCGUUAAUUCGCGUUCCCCAAAUUGAUUGGCGGUCACGUCGAGCUUCCAUAGCGUAGUAGUAAAACCCUCGUUACUGGUAAUCGUCGCGGCCACGCCGUUAAACCCCAACUUCUGAAUGUUGACCUCGGAUCAGGUAGGAAUACCCGCUGAACUUAUGCAUAUCAAUAGGCCGGGAGGAA